Molecule: ribosomal RNA, 253 nt
Filed under: uncultured bacterium
Lineage: Bacteria
Description: partial 16S ribosomal RNA
Rfam family: Bacterial small subunit ribosomal RNA
Source: RNAcentral
GACGUAGGGGGCAAGCGUUGUCCGGAAUCAUUGGGCGUAAAGCGCUCGUAGGUGGAUCGGUAAGUCUGCAAUGAAAGACCCGGGCUCAACUCGGGGAACGGUGUGGAUACUACCGAUCUUGAGGCAAUCAGAGGAUGAUGGGAUUCCCGGUGUAGCGGUGAAAUGCGUAGAUAUCGGGAGGAACACCAGUGGCGAAGGCGAUCAUCUGGGGUUGUUCUGACACUGAGGAGCGAAAGCUAGGGGAGCAAACGGG